Molecule: long non-coding RNA, 695 nt
Organism: Lotus japonicus
Lineage: Eukaryota; Viridiplantae; Streptophyta; Magnoliopsida; Fabales; Fabaceae
Exons: 2
Source: RefSeq, a predicted model, not a curated record
GAGCUGUUGCUUUAGCUCGGCUCAUUAAUUUUUAAUUUUUUUUUGCAGUGUGAGAUAUGUUUGUUUCUAUAGUUAAUUAGUAGUAUUUGCUCUAAUUCAGGUGUUGGUUUAUUUGAAUCAAAGGGAUAGGGAUAAGGCAAAGGAAAUAGAGCGAGAGAAGCAUACAAAUAGUUAAGAGAAGAGGGUAAGCUAUAAAGAUGGGGAGAAGGACAAGGGGAAAGAUAAAACUAGAGAGAAGGAAAGGGAGAUAAAUCUAUUAAAAGAAAGGUCAAGAGAUAGAGUCACUUGGGAUUUAUGGAGCAUUCUAUCAACAACUUUGAUUUGAAAAAGAUGCAUAUUGAAUUAAAAUUCAAUUCAUACCAUGGGGAAGACAAGUUUCAUCCUUACUUUUAUCUACUCAGCUUCUUUGUUCUUGAAUGCUGCAAUUACCUUUGUUGGAUACAAGAUGAGUGGUCAGGGUAGAGAAAAAGUAACGUAGUUUGCAAAGGAAGACAGUUCUUACUCCUUUGAAGAACCUAGCAUGGCUUUGAGCUUAUUAGUAAUGUGAUCAGUAAAUGGGACUGCAGUGUUAAUAAUGAUAAAUAAUAAAAUUAACAACAUCCUGUUUAUUUGUCAUCUACAUAUUUGUCUGUUGAUUUUUGCAUUUCAGAUACUUGAAUAAUUGAGUUUUUGUACAAGAUUUUGCCUUCUUUUUU